AUAUCAAUAAGCGGAGGAAAAGAAACUAACAAGGAUUCCCCUAGUAACGGCGAGUGAAGCGGGAAUAGCUCAAAUUUGAAAUCUCACUGUUUUACAGUGCGAAUUGUAGUUUAGAGAAACGUUUUCGGGGUCGAUCAUUAGUACAAGUUCUUUGGAACGAGACAUCAUAGAGGGUGAAAAUCCCGUCUUUGACUAAUGAUUUGAUUCUAUGUGAUACGUUUUCCAAGAGUCGGUUUGUUUGGGAAUGCAGACCAAAAUGGGUGGUAAAUACCAUCUAAAGCUAAAUAUUGGCGAGAGACCGAUAGCGAACAAGUACCGUGAGGGAAAGAUGAAAAGAACUUUGAAAAGAGAGUUAAACAGUACGUGAAAUUGUCAAAAGGGAAACGCUUGAAACCAGUAUUGUUUAUAAUAAUUCAGCUAUUCUUUGAAUGGUGUAUUUUAUUAUCGACGAGUCAACAUCAGUUUUAUUUGAGGUAAAAAGCUAUGGGAAGGUGAUCACUUUCGGGUGGUUUUAUAGACUAUAGUAAUGCCUUGGAUGAGACUGAGGUCUGCAGCAUUAUUUGGCCAUUUGGCACACCAAUGCUUAGGAUGUUGACGAAAUGGUUUUAAACGA
RNAcentral lists this ribosomal RNA (613 nucleotides) under uncultured fungus. RNAcentral describes it as "eukaryotic LSU rRNA". It matches the Rfam family "Eukaryotic large subunit ribosomal RNA", at positions 40 to 647 of the family's 3401-position model. Lineage: Eukaryota; Fungi. The record is from RNAcentral.